GUGUGUGUGUGUGUGUGUGCACUAGGGUUGCAAAAAAGGUGGAAUAUUUCCAGUAAAUUUCAGAAACAUUCCAGGAUUUUU
Molecule: long non-coding RNA, 81 nt
Organism: Sinocyclocheilus rhinocerous
Lineage: Eukaryota; Metazoa; Chordata; Actinopteri; Cypriniformes; Cyprinidae
Exons: 3
Source: RefSeq, a predicted model, not a curated record